This 111-nucleotide non-coding RNA is filed under the name Erwinia sp. CPCC 100877. RNAcentral's name for it is "antisense sRNA RprA". It matches the Rfam family "RprA RNA". From Rfam's summary of the family: Translational regulation of the stationary phase sigma factor RpoS is mediated by the formation of a double-stranded RNA stem-loop structure in the upstream region of the rpoS messenger RNA, occluding the translation initiation site. Clones carrying rprA (RpoS regulator RNA A) increased the translation of RpoS. The record is from RNAcentral. Lineage: Bacteria; Pseudomonadati; Pseudomonadota; Gammaproteobacteria; Enterobacterales; Erwiniaceae.
GCAGGUUAUAAAUCAACGCCUUGAUUUAUAAACACGGAAAUCCCCUGAGUGAAACAACGAGAAUUGCUGUGUGUAGUCUUUGCCCAUCUCUUACGGUGGGCUUUUUUUAGU